CUAAACAAGAAAUUGGUGCUGAUAUUAAGAAUAACAAUAAUGAUCCUGUGAAGCUGGUUGGAUUCAGGCAAAUUGGGAGCAGAAGAAAAAACAAGCCACGUAGGGCUGCUGAAGUUGGCCUCGAGUGCAGAUGAAGUCUGGUGCACAACUAUUAUCAAUUUUGUUUAAAGAGAUGAUCCGCUUUUGUGGAGUUUUCCUGCA
Molecule: long non-coding RNA, 201 nt
Organism: Daucus carota subsp. sativus
Lineage: Eukaryota; Viridiplantae; Streptophyta; Magnoliopsida; Apiales; Apiaceae
Exons: 2
Source: RefSeq, a predicted model, not a curated record